This 463-nucleotide ribosomal RNA is filed under the name Vreelandella stevensii. RNAcentral's name for it is "partial 16S ribosomal RNA". It matches the Rfam family "Bacterial small subunit ribosomal RNA", at positions 339 to 795 of the family's 1533-position model. The record is from RNAcentral. Lineage: Bacteria; Pseudomonadati; Pseudomonadota; Gammaproteobacteria; Oceanospirillales; Halomonadaceae.
CUACGGGGGCUGCAGUGGGGAAUAUUGGACAAUGGGCGAAAGCCUGAUCCAGCCAUGCCGCGUGUGUGAAGAAGGCCUUCGGGUUGUAAAGCACUUUCAGUGGGGAAGAAAGCCUUGGGGCUAAUACCCUCGAGGAAGGACAUCACCCACAGAAGAAGCACCGGCUAACUCCGUGCCAGCAGCCGCGGUAAUACGGAGGGUGCGAGCGUUAAUCGGAAUUACUGGGCGUAAAGCGCGCGUAGGCGGUCUGAUAAGCCGGUUGUGAAAGCCCCGGGCUCAACCUGGGAACGGCAUCCGGAACUGUCAGGCUAGAGUGCAGGAGAGGAAGGUAGAAUUCCCGGUGUAGCGGUGAAAUGCGUAGAGAUCGGGAGGAAUACCAGUGGCGAAGGCGGCCUUCUGGACUGACACUGACGCUGAGGUGCGAAAGCGUGGGUAGCAAACAGGAUUAGAUACCCUAGUAGUC